Molecule: ribosomal RNA, 463 nt
Filed under: uncultured bacterium
Lineage: Bacteria
Description: partial 16S ribosomal RNA
Rfam family: Bacterial small subunit ribosomal RNA
Source: RNAcentral
GACGAACGCUGGCGGCGCGCCUAACACAUGCCAGUCGAACGGUGAAGAGGAGCUUGCUCCUCGGAACAGUGGCGGACGGGUGAGUAACACGUGAGCAACCUGGCUCUAAGAGGGGGACAACAGUUGGAAACGACUGCUAAUACCGCAUGACGUAUCGGGAUGGCAUCUUCCUGAUACCAAAGAUUUUAUCGCUUAGAGAUGGGCUCGCGUCUGAUUAGAUAGUUGGCGGGGUAACGGCCCACCAAGUCGACGAUCAGUGGCCGGACUGAGAGGUUGAGCGGCCACAUUGGGACUGAGACACGGCCCAGACUCCUACGGGAGGCAGCAGUGGGGGAUAUUGGACAAUGGGGGCAACCCUGAUCCAGCGACGCCGCGUGAGGGAAGAAGGUUUUCGGAUUGUAAACCUCUGUUGACGGAGAAAAAAAUGAUGGUAUCCGUUUAGAAAGCCACGGCUAACUACGUG